CAACUCGCCUGCAUGAAGCUGGAAUUGCUAGUAAUCGCGGAUCAGCAAGCCGCGGUGAAUACGUUCCCGGGCCUUGUACACACCGCCCAUCACACCAUGAGAGUCGGGAACACCCGAAGUCCGUAGUCUAACCGCAAGGGGGGCGCGGCCGAAGGUGGGUCCGGUAAUUGGGGUGAAGUCGUAACAAGGUAAC
This 193-nucleotide ribosomal RNA is filed under the name uncultured bacterium. RNAcentral's name for it is "partial 16S ribosomal RNA". It matches the Rfam family "Bacterial small subunit ribosomal RNA", at positions 1308 to 1500 of the family's 1533-position model. The record is from RNAcentral.